Mus pahari (shrew mouse) is the source of this 452-nucleotide long non-coding RNA. RefSeq lists it as uncharacterized. The transcript is spliced from 3 exons. Lineage: Eukaryota; Metazoa; Chordata; Mammalia; Rodentia; Muridae. The record is from RefSeq and is a predicted model, not a curated record.
CACGAGGAGAGACUUCAUUGCUGCAACUGCAGCAAAGAUUUCUCACCAGCAAACAAACAGGGGAAUCUGCAAAGCCCUUGAAGCGAAUGGAUGCGGUAAAGGUGCUCAGAGAAGGAGAGGAGCGAGGAGGGGGACAAGGCAGCCCCGGGGUGAUGAGGAUGGGGUCCAGAAGGGAAGAAUUUGAGGAGUGUUGACAUAAAGUAGGCAAUGUUUGUCAUUAAAGUAUGCCCGAAAAAAUGUGGUCAAGGCUUUGAGAGAGCCCAAAGUGAAAGGACUCUUCCUUGGGCAACAUGUUGGACUGUACAAAUGGAGAAAGGAGAGUAAGCAGCAACAUGUAAGACUUUAACUCCCACCAUUUCUGGAUUUGUAGAUGCAGCGUGGCCAGGUGCUUCAAGCUUCUGUUGCUUUGACUUGUAUGCCCAAUGACUAUACCUUGAACUGUAAUUCAAAUA